RNAcentral lists this ribosomal RNA (631 nucleotides) under uncultured eukaryote. RNAcentral describes it as "eukaryotic LSU rRNA". The stretch from base 208 to 362 matches the Rfam family "5.8S ribosomal RNA". The record is from RNAcentral.
UUCCGUAGGUGAACCUGCGGAAGGAUCAUUAACACGAAAUUCAAUUUCAACACCAACAACUAAUCGUGGACCACGACGGCGCAAGCCCGACUGUUCCAGAGGCGUCGAUCCCGGCGGAGCUCUCGCUUCGCUGCUGGUUGGCGCCACCGCUCACCCAUCUUUUUCAACCGAAAUCUCUGUCAAAGCAAUUCAUCACAAUUAUUUCACAAUUUUUAGCGAUGGAUGCCUCGGCUCGAGAAACGAUGAAGGACGCAGCAAAAUGCGAUAAGCACUGCGAAUGGCAAAACCUCGUGAAUCAAUAGAACGCUGAACGCAUCCUGCACUUUCAGGUUAUACCUGAAAGUAUGUCUUCUUCAGGGCAUAUGCACUCUUCUGCAAUCAAGCGCUGCAGCUUUCGCUACAGUACGGCUUGAUGGGCGUUGAUGUGUGUCAGCGCAUGGCUUCCACGAGCCCGUUGACACAUGAAAGUCAGUAGUUGUCACCAACUAGCUAAGCUGUCGCUUUGUGAUGCUCACGCUUUCCAAGUGAUAGCCGCGCCGGUCGGGUAUAUGCAGCUACCGAAACGCGAUUUGUUUCUUCCCUAUCAUGCAUGAAGUGAGACAAGGCUACCCGCUGAAUUUAAGCAUAUCAA